ACUUCCUACGGGAGGCAGCAGUGGGGAAUAUUGCACAAUGGGCGCAAGCCUGAUGCAGCCAUGCCGCGUGUAUGAAGAAGGCCUUCGGGUUGUAAAGUACUUUCAGCAGUGAGGAAGGCGGAGUCGUUAAUAGCGGCCUCGUUUGACGUUAGCUGCAGAAGAAGCACCGGCUAACUCCGUGCCAGCAGCCGCGGUAAUACGGAGGGUGCGAGCGUUAAUCGGAAUUACUGGGCGUAAAGCGCAUGCAGGUGGUUUGUUAAGUCAGAUGUGAAAGCCCGGGGCUCAACCUCGGAAUUGCAUUUGAAACUGGCAGACUAGAGUACUGUAGAGGGGGGUAGAAUUUCAGGUGUAGCGGUGAAAUGCGUAGAGAUCUGAAGGAAUACCGGUGGCGAAGGCGGCCCCCUGGACAGAUACUGACACUCAGAUGCGAAAGCGUGGGGAGCAAACA
This 448-nucleotide ribosomal RNA is filed under the name uncultured bacterium. Its description in RNAcentral is "bacterial SSU rRNA". It matches the Rfam family "Bacterial small subunit ribosomal RNA", at positions 334 to 774 of the family's 1533-position model. The record is from RNAcentral.